UACGAAGGGGGCUAGCGUUGCUCGGAUUGACUGGGCGUAAAGGGCGCGUAGGCGGUUCGUACAGUCAGACGUGAAAUUCCUGGGCUCAACCUGGGGGCUGCGUUUGAUACGUGCGGACUUGAGUGCGGAAGAGGGUCGUGGAAUUCCCAGUGUAGAGGUGAAAUUCGUAGAUAUUGGGAAGAACACCGGUGGCGAAGGCGGCGACCUGGUCCGAUACUGACGGCUGAGGCGCGAAAGCGUGGGGAGCAAACAGG
This 254-nucleotide ribosomal RNA is filed under the name uncultured bacterium. Its description in RNAcentral is "partial 16S ribosomal RNA". It matches the Rfam family "Bacterial small subunit ribosomal RNA", at positions 524 to 776 of the family's 1533-position model. The record is from RNAcentral.